Molecule: long non-coding RNA, 1588 nt
Filed under: Homo sapiens (human)
Lineage: Eukaryota; Metazoa; Chordata; Mammalia; Primates; Hominidae
Description: HSALNT0360537
Source: RNAcentral
CCCUCAGAUGGGGAGAGUUUCCUGGAUCAUCCAGGUGCUCCCAAAGUCAUCACAGGGGUCCCCGUGAGUAGAAGACGGAAGCAGGAAAGAGUCACCAUCAGGUGACAUGGGAAUGACUCAACCUGCCAUUGCUGGUUUUGAAGAUCCAGGGAGGGGCCACUGCCAAGGAAUGAAGCAGUUUCUAGAAGCCUGAAAAGCCAAGAGCACAGAUUCACCCUCGAGGCCCCAGAAGGAAGCAGUCCUGCCAACACCUUGACCCUCGCUCAGGGAGACCCGGUUUGGACUUCCACCCUCUGGAACUGUGAGAUGAUACAUUUGUGUUGUUUUAAGCCACUAAGUCUGUGGGAAUCUGUUAUUGCAGUGACAGGAAAUCAAUAAGAAGAGAAGGCCCCAAAUCCGUAGAUGUGGGGAGCCAGGGCAACACGCCAAGGCUGAACGGGGGCUGCAGGGCCCACCUUGGGGAAACUUGGGGGAGCUACUCCUCCCUCACGGCAGCCAUGGCAUUAGGGGGAGCUGUCAGUCACUGGGCUUGGAGAACACAGCUGCACUUCUGGAGAUAUUAGAUGCAACAGUUGCAAAUUAUGCACUAAUUCUUCAGGACUUCUGGGCCACAAAUUAGAAUAUGAAGAGACAGAAGAAAAUAGACUCUCAGUACCACAGAGAAAAAAUGCUUCUUUAUGUGAGAAUCCAUUUUGUUUGCCUGAUCUCAGAAGAUGGAGUUGAUAAGGUCUUUGCCCAGCGUCCAGGAAGAAUGAGGUCACUCGGACUUGGAGGAUGGUGAAUGUGGGGAUUUUAUUGAGUAAUGGAGGUGUCUCUCAGAGGGAUGGAUGGGGAGCUGGAAAGGAGAUGGACUGGAAGAUUAUCUUCCCCCUGGAGUCCAGCUGUCCCUCGGCCAGUCUCCUCUCUGACCAUCCCCAGCCGAACCCCUCCCAACAUUCAGACGCACCUUCUCUUCUCUCCUUCUCUGCCUCACCGCCCUGCCGUUCUUCUACUCUUCUUUUUUUCUGCUCAUGGAGCUUGGGGUUUAUAUGGACACACGAUAGGGGUGUGGUGAGCCAGAGUGACCUUGGAGAAGGCAACAUUUGGGCAUGAAAACAGGAAAGCUUGUUCCCAUUUAGGGCCGUGGGUUUCCAGGCUUGGGGGCGGGGCCUUUGCUGGGGAAACGCCCUUCUGCUUCCUGUCCGUAUCAGCAUGCAUGUGAUGUAAUCAUGUGCACAGUUUCAGGGAGGGAACCCUUUUCCUCUACUCUCUUAGGUUUUGUAUUGAGGGCCUGAAAAUUAAACUGAAAAAAAAAGACAACAUAGCGAGAGAAAAAAACCCUCAGAUUUAAUUACAUAUGUAUGUGUGGGAGUUCACAAAGAAGUGUGACCCAAGGAAGCAGUUAGAAUUUGGGGCUUAUGUAUCAUCUUAACAGGGGAAGGGACACCUCUGGGAGAAAUGACUUCUUAGACGAAGGGGAGAAGGGUCACUUAUGGAAAAACGAUUGUCUUUUUGGAAAAAUAAAUAUGGCCUUAGGAGAAAAGAUAAGAGAUAUGAUGGUUUUGUGAAGUUUGUUUGAGAUGUAAACCAAAAAUAAAAUUCAAAGGCC